UGCCCCUCACUUGCCAAUACGUCUAGAUCAGCCAGGGCGUCGGCAUGUGUAGCGUAUUAUGUUGGGCUCUCUCGAGAUAAGGAUACGAUGUCCCUUUAUCGGUUGGUUUCCUGUGUGCGCGGCCCGUUCGUUUUUUUGUUACUUCGCAUCGUUCGGUGCAUUCUGGGGGCUGUGUUGGCUUUUGGUGGCUUGCUUGGCCUUUUGGCUUUGCUUGUUGCUACUUGUCGGGCUGCUUUCGGGAAUGUCGACCGUGGAGGUGCAUGAGUGGUGUUUGGUUUGUUACGUGUGGAUGGCUGUUUGCUUGUGCAACAACGUUCACGCUGCAUACCUCUUCAGUUUUGCGGCAAGGCUUGGUUUGGCUUGUGCAUAUUGUGGGUUUCCUGUGUUGCAUACCUAGUUGAUGGAAAAGUGUGGGUUUUACGAUUUUCAUUUUCGUCUUGCGUCGUUCUUUCGGCGUGGGAUGAACAAUGAAGCGAUCUUUAUGAUCCAUCGUGCUGUUGCGUUUGCAACAAUGAUGUGGCCUAUGAAGCAUCGUUUGGUCUCUUGUAUACGGAAGCUCAUUUGGGCUUGGGUCUUUAUAAGAUCUUCGUUACGCCCUUGUUAAGCGUUCUCGCUUCUCCUAAACGAUUG
Molecule: unclassified non-coding RNA, 630 nt
Filed under: Centaurea toletana
Lineage: Eukaryota; Viridiplantae; Streptophyta; Magnoliopsida; Asterales; Asteraceae
Description: partial external transcribed spacer
Source: RNAcentral